GACGAACGCUGGCGGCGUGCCUAAUACAUGCAAGUCGAACGCAGUGGGGACGGGUGAGUAACACGUGGGUAACCUCCCAUCAGAGGGGAUAACACUUGGAAACAGGUGCUAAACCGAUACUGAUGGAUGGACCCGCGGUGCAUUAGCUGGUUGGUGAGGUAACGGCUCACCAAGGCCACGAUGCAUAGCAGACCUUGGAGGGUGCUCGGCCACACUGGGAGUGAGACACGGCCCAGACUCCUACGGGAGGCAGCAAUAGGGAAUCUUCGGCCAUGUACGAAAGGCUGCCCGAGCAACGCCGCGUGAGUGAAGAAGGUUUACAGAUCGUAAAACUCUGUUGUUAGAGAAGCGGUAGCUAACCAGAAAGCCACGGCUAACUACGUGCCAGCAACCGCGGUAAUAC
RNAcentral lists this ribosomal RNA (403 nucleotides) under uncultured bacterium. Its description in RNAcentral is "partial 16S ribosomal RNA". It matches the Rfam family "Bacterial small subunit ribosomal RNA", at positions 28 to 526 of the family's 1533-position model. The record is from RNAcentral.